UGCCAGACUCCUACGGGAGGCAGCAGUGAGGAAUAUUGGUCAAUGGGCUUACGCCUGAACCAGCCAAGUCGCGUGAGGGAAGACUGCCCUAUGGGUUGUAAACCUCUUUUGUCAGGGAGCAAUUGGCGCUACGUGUAGCGUUAUCGAGAGUACCUGAAGAAAAAGCAUCGGCUAACUCCGUGCCAGCAGCCGCGGUAAUACGGAGGAUGCGAGCGUUAUCCGGAUUUAUUGGGUUUAAAGGGUGCGUAGGCGGGCUUUUAAGUCAGGGGUAAAGGCCGGGGCCUCAACCCCGGCGAGCCGUUGAAACUGGCUGUCUUGAGAUGUCGAGAGGUAUGCGGAAUGCGCAGUGUAGCGGUGAAAUGCUUAGAUAUUGCGCAGAACUCCGAUUGCGAAGGCAGCAUACCGGCGGCGAUCUGACGCUGAGGCACGAAAGCGUGGGUAUCGAACAGGAUUAGAUACCCCCGUACC
This 468-nucleotide ribosomal RNA is filed under the name uncultured bacterium. RNAcentral describes it as "bacterial SSU rRNA". It matches the Rfam family "Bacterial small subunit ribosomal RNA", at positions 329 to 796 of the family's 1533-position model. The record is from RNAcentral.